GAUGAACGCUGGCGGCGUGCCUAAUACAUGCAAGUCGAGCGAACGGACGAUAAGCUUGUUUCUCUGAUGUUAGCGGCGGACGGGCGAGUAACACGUGGAUAACCUACUUAUAAUACUUGGAUAAUUUCGGGAAACCGGUUCUAAUACCGGCUGAUAUUUUGAACCGCAUGGUUCAAAAGUGAAUGACGGCUUUGCUGUCACUUAUAGCUGGAUCCGCGCUGCAUUAGCUAGUUGGUAAGGUAACGGCUUACCAAGGCAACGAUGCGUAGCCGACCUGAGAGGGUGAUCAGCCACACUGGAACUGAGACACGGUCCAGACUCCUACGGGAGGCAGCAGUAGGGAAUCUUCCGCAAUGGGCGAAAGCCUGACGGAGCAACGCCGCGUGAGUGAUGAAGGUCUUCGGGUCGUAAAACUCUGUUGUUAGGGAAGAACAUAUGUGUAAGUAACUGUGCACAUCUUGACGGUACCUAAUCAGAAAGCCACGGCUAACUACGUG
This 497-nucleotide ribosomal RNA is filed under the name uncultured bacterium. RNAcentral's name for it is "partial 16S ribosomal RNA". It matches the Rfam family "Bacterial small subunit ribosomal RNA", at positions 28 to 507 of the family's 1533-position model. The record is from RNAcentral.